This 274-nucleotide ribosomal RNA is filed under the name uncultured bacterium. RNAcentral describes it as "partial 16S ribosomal RNA". It matches the Rfam family "Bacterial small subunit ribosomal RNA", at positions 523 to 796 of the family's 1533-position model. The record is from RNAcentral.
CUACGGAGGGUGCAAGCGUUAUUCGGAAUCACUGGGCGUAAAGGGUGCGUAGGCGGUUUGGUAAGUCUGAUGUGAAAUCCUAUGGCUCAACCAUAGAACUGCAUUGGAAACUGCUAAACUAGAAUACUGAAGGGGCAGAUGGAAUUAGUGGUGUAGGGGUAAAACCCGUAGAUAUCACUAGGAAUACCGAAAGCGAAAGCGAUCUGCUGGGAAGUUAUUGACGCUGAGGCACGAAAGCGUGGGGAGCAAACGGGAUUAGAAACCCUAGUAGUCC